GCCCCUAUAGUUUAAUGGAUAGAAUAAUCCCCUCCUAAGGGAUAGAUGCAGGUUCGAUUCCUACUAGGGGUGCCA
Molecule: transfer RNA, 75 nt
Filed under: Clostridium baratii
Lineage: Bacteria; Bacillati; Bacillota; Clostridia; Eubacteriales; Clostridiaceae
Description: tRNA-Arg(cct)
Rfam family: tRNA
About the family: Transfer RNA (tRNA) molecules are approximately 80 nucleotides in length. Their secondary structure includes four short double-helical elements and three loops (D, anti-codon, and T loops).
Source: RNAcentral